Molecule: ribosomal RNA, 165 nt
Filed under: uncultured bacterium
Lineage: Bacteria
Description: partial 16S rRNA
Rfam family: Bacterial small subunit ribosomal RNA
Source: RNAcentral
UGGGGAAUAUUGCACAAUGGGCGCAAGCCUGAUGCAGCCAUGCCGCGUGUGUGAAGAAGGUUUUCGGAUCGUAAAGCUCUGUUGUAAGAGAAGAACGUGUGUGAGAGUGGAAAGUUCACACAGUGACGGUAACUUACCAGAAAGGGACGGCUAACUACGUGUCAG